Molecule: non-coding RNA, 30 nt
Filed under: Mus musculus (house mouse)
Lineage: Eukaryota; Metazoa; Chordata; Mammalia; Rodentia; Muridae
Source: RNAcentral
UCCAUGAGUUGAGAUAGACAAAAGCUGGCA